This 396-nucleotide ribosomal RNA is filed under the name uncultured bacterium. RNAcentral describes it as "bacterial SSU rRNA". It matches the Rfam family "Bacterial small subunit ribosomal RNA", at positions 29 to 429 of the family's 1533-position model. The record is from RNAcentral.
AUUGAACGCUGGCGGCAUGCCUUACACAUGCAAGUCGAGCGGCAGCGCGGGGGCAACCCUCGGCGGCGAGCGGCGCACGGGUGAGUAAUACAUCGGAACGUGUCCUUUUGUGGGGGAGUAACCAGUCGAAAGACUGGCUAAUACCGCAUGAGAUCUCACGAUGAAAGCGGGGGACCGCAAGGCCUCGCGCGAUUGGAGCGGCCGAUGUCGGAUUAGCUAGNGGCGGGGUAAAGCCCACCAAGGCGACGAUCCGUAGCUGGUUUGAGAGAACGACCAGCCACACUGGGACUGAGACACGGCCCAGACUCCUACGGGAGGCAGCAGUGGGGAAUUUUGGACAAUGGGGGCAACCCUGAUCCAGCCAUGCCGCGUGUGUGAAGAAGGCCUCGGUGUAAG